This 2623-nucleotide long non-coding RNA is filed under the name Ficedula albicollis (Collared flycatcher). Its description in RNAcentral is "lncRNA (ENSFALG00000026350.1)". Lineage: Eukaryota; Metazoa; Chordata; Aves; Passeriformes; Muscicapidae. The record is from RNAcentral.
AUGGCUAAAGGAGAUGGAAGAGGGGCAAUCACCCAAUACUCCUCUCAUGCCCAUCUCAGAAGAUUUAUUUCAGCAUCACACCAUUGGUUCCUUCCCCAGUUUCCAAGAUCGGAAGAGCCCCCCCCCCCCCCCCCCCCCCCCCCCCCCCCCCCCCCCCCCCCCCCCCCCCAGGCAAGGCAACACUCUGGCAGUCGGCCAAGAGAGCCACACAGAUUAUUGCAUACGCACGGCACCGCCGGGCCAAGGCGGCCUUUAACCCUUUGCGAGCCGCCGCACGCUGCCCGGGGGCGGGGAGGGGGGCUGGGGGCUCGCCUCGACACUUACCUCCUCCUUCCCCUUGUAACACUUCAAAGGCCAGGCUGCCUCUCUAUGGUGGGAUUAAUCCCUGCGCACGCCAAUGUUCCAGAGAAGUCCCCCCCCCCCCCCCCCCCCCCCCCCCCCCCCCCCCCCCCCCCCCCCCCCCCCCCCCCCCCCCCCCCCCCCCCCCCCCCCCCCCCCCCCCCCCCCCCCCCCCCCUCCUGUAGCAGGCUGCGUCGCGGGGCUCUCAAAUCACUUUGCAGGCAGAAAGAAAUGAGAUGGGGAGGGGAGAAAAAAAAAAAAAGACACAACCCAACCCCAAACCUAUAUUGUUUAAGGGGGAAGAAACAGACAGCUAGCAACGUGUGCUGUCCUUCAGAAAUGGCAGGAAAUGCUGGUUUAAAGGAUGCAUGAAAAUCGGUUGCUCAGUCAAGGCUGGUCUGUCUCUCUAAGGGAGGAAACAAAACUGCUGGAAACCAGGGAAUGCUCUGAAGCAGCCUCUGCGAGAGUCAGAAGAGGGUGAUUUUAUUUAAGAUGCCAUAUUGCAUUUCGCUGUGGCGAACUGUGAAGUGAUUUAGAGCAAGAGCCUGCAUCCCACUCCCUUUUUCUGAAUUAGUUUUAUUUAUCCGGAUCCUUGGCAUAUGCUUGAGUUGCUUUGUAGAAAGUACCUUCCACUUCAUUCAGACCAAAGAGAGUCUGACUCAUACCGUCACUGAACUACAAGACAGGCAGGGCUGAACCACGCAUGUUUGGGUACUAACUCCCUCUGGAUUCCUCAGCACUGGUUUCAUCAAAGAUCCCUUUGCAUGUCUCCCAGCUGCCUGCAGACCACUGUGAGCCUCUCCUGAACUUCACCCCCACCUCCCGCGAUCUAUGGCAACUUACACUCCCCUGGCACUCCAGCAUCAGUGUGUUACUCUCUUACUUCCCUCAACGCAGGUGCCUGCAAGUGCCAUAAACUGCACUGAUGGGCAAGUAACAAGCACAGAUGCAAAACAGAGAUCAGAGGAAAUACCUUCCUUCUCGACUGUUUCAGUCUGGUCUUCAUUUAAAAAAAAAUUUAAAAACCAAAAAAACAACACCCCCCCCCAAAUCAACUUACCAAGCUAGGUACAAAGAAAUAAAACAAAUUAUGAAAGCAAUGAAUAGGAUGAGUGCAGCCAAAGGAUAGUGGGAUGCUAUGCUGGCAUGCAACCCAACAGUGGUCCAUAAGAAACUAUUCACUCUCUGCUUUGGCAUCAGGAAGAGAAGUAGAGCACAGAGGCCUCUCCCCACCCCAAGAACAUUGCAAAAAAAUGUUGCAUAAAUACCAAGGGCUGUUACAUGCUGACUCCAAGGAGCUGGAUGUUGUGGGGUCCCAGGCCUCAGAAAGGCACUCCAUGUAGCAUAGACAUCCAGAUCAAGUUGUUUAUUGCAGUUUGUACAUUUUGCCAUGACAAUAAGCUCCAAGGUACCAGGUUUCUAGCAGGUAUACCUCAUAUGUGUCCAUUUUAUAUUAGCAUAAUGUUUUAGCUGUGAAGUAAAUCUAGCACUAGAGUCUAGAUGCAAAGUACCCUAGGAUUCAGCCUGCCAUUAUGCAGAUCAGCAAAGGAGUCCCCUAGGAUUCAGCCUGCCAUUAUGCAGAUCAGCAAGGGAGUCCCUUCUAUAAAGGACUGAAAUGACUUACUAUAAUUGCUAAGGAAUGUAGUAAUAACAUUGUAAACUUCUAUAAAGGACUGAAAUGACUUACUAUAAGGAAUGUAGUAAUAACAUUGUAAGCUGCAGUGUUCUGGAUUUAAGAGUUGAUACUGUAAUACAGACUAGCUCUAUGAAACAAGGAUCUUUCACCAUAGCAUCUCCUGUAUCUUCAGUUUGGGUUCACUAUGAAAAUCAAUAUGAUUUUCUGUUCUAGCAGUGAUCUGGAGACAGAAGCAGCAAUAGACCAAGAUACCUGGCCAAACAUGCCACUCAGUACUACGAGAGAGAUAAUCUACAGCAGCAAAGCAGACAGCAAAAUUGUAUUCACCCAGCUAAUGUAAGGUUCAUUGAUUUAAUAAAAGGAACCAAGGGAAAGAGACAUAGACUGGAGAUUACUGAAAAUCAAGUGAAAGCCCAGAAGAAACUGAAAACACAUCAUCGAGGUUCAAUUCAGAGUACAAGGCAUUCUGUCUGCCACCUUUUUUAUUCCAGUAGUACAGAGCGUUACCUCAGGAGAAAGGAAUCUUUCCUUCUCAAACAUUCACCUUGCCAAGAGGUGUGGCAUGCACAGAGAAAGAGAAGCCACAUUCAUGCUGAAGCAAGCUUUGGGCAACUUUCCCUUCUGCAGCAGGCUCAUGUAAGAGGCUUG